AGUGAACGCUGGCGGUAGGCCUAACACAUGCAAGUCGAACGGCAGCACAGUAAGAGCUUGCUCCUACGGGUGGCGAGUGGCGGACGGGUGAGGAAUACAUCGGAAUCUACUUUUUCGUGGGUGCUGACGUAGGGAAACUUACGCUAAUACCGCAUACGACCUACGGGUGAAAGCAGGGGAUCUUCGGACCUUGCGCGAUUGAAUGAGCCGAUGUCGGAUUAGGUAGUUGGCGGGGUAAAGGCCCACCAAGGCGACGAUCCGUAGCUGGUCUGAGAGGAGGAUCAGCCACACUGGAACUGAGACACGGUACAGACUCCGACGGGAGGCAGCAGUGGGGAAUAUUGGACAAUGGGCGCAAGCCUGAUCCAGCCAUACCGCGUGGGUGAAGAAGGGCUUCGGGUUGUAAAGCCCUUUUGGUGUGAAAGAAAAGCAGCAGGUUAAUACCCGGCUGUUCUGACGGUACCGAAAGAAGAAGCACCGGCUAACUUCGUG
RNAcentral lists this ribosomal RNA (492 nucleotides) under uncultured bacterium. Its description in RNAcentral is "partial 16S ribosomal RNA". It matches the Rfam family "Bacterial small subunit ribosomal RNA", at positions 29 to 507 of the family's 1533-position model. The record is from RNAcentral.